This 2344-nucleotide long non-coding RNA is filed under the name Mus musculus (house mouse). Its description in RNAcentral is "long non-coding RNA chr3:137897146-137899490". The record is from RNAcentral. Lineage: Eukaryota; Metazoa; Chordata; Mammalia; Rodentia; Muridae.
ACUAAAGACUCAAGUUAAAUGCUAUGUUUGUGUUUCUCUAAGGGAAACAAGUGUUACCUAGGACAGUAAACAAAACCUGGCUGGGUUGUCUUUCCCAGGAAACUUGUUAAGUUUACUAAAGCAAAGAAAUAUUUAUUAUGCAGAAUGAUUUUUUGUUUGUUUUUGUUUUUUCCAGACAGGGUUUCUCUGUGUAGCCCUGGCUGUCCUGGAACUCACUCUGUAGACCAGGCUGGCCUCGAACUCAGAAAUCUGCCUGAUUCUGCCUCCCAAGUGCUGGGAUUAAAGGCGCGUGCCACCACUGUCCGGCCAGAAUGAUUUUUAUAACAUACCUAAAUGUGUUUCCCACACCAUUCCGGUGACACGCAUUCUCUCUCUCCUCUCGGACAUAAAUACCAUUAUCUCGGUGUUGACUGUAGCUCAUCGGUCCUUGCCUCUCAUUCACAAAGACGUUAGUUCAUUACCCACUAUCACCAUCAAACAAGCAAGAAACAACACAAAAGCAAGCCACCAAACUAGGACACAUUAUCUUCAAAGGUUGGAGAUUGUUUCAGUGCACUGUUCUGUUGUCAGCAUACACAGGGACAUCCUAGCAGAGGGCACAGGGUACCCGUGUGUUUCAUAAAUAAUCUUGCGCCAAAGCUUGGGCUAGGUUUGUAGUUUAAUAUUAGCAGUGUAGACCCAAGGGCAUGACUUGCAGAACAAAGAUGUUACUUCCUCCUUUGGGCUUUUUCUUAUCGAAGUGAGGGGAUCUGAGAUUCCCUCAUCUUCAAAGAAAGACAUGCUUCACCCAAAACAUUGGCACUGUAGCAAAGCCCAGUGUCUGCCAAGUGUUUUGUAGCUUUUUCAUUCCUGUGGAGUUUUUUUCUUUUUCUUUUUCUGUUUAAUGUUUGUUUAAAUUCUUGUGAGCACGGAUGGUGGGACACACCUGUAACGUCAGCACUUGGGUGACAGAGGCAGGAGGAUCAGGAGUUCUGCUUACCUGGAGAUGAACAGCCAUUCUCGUCCCCAGGCGCAUUAGUUACCGUCACUCCAGCUUGACCAACUACUUGGCACAUAUAACUGAAGGGGGGGCAGGGUUUAUUUUGGUGUAUAGUUUGAGAAGUGUAAGUGUCGGUCUGUCCUGAGAGAAAGGGCAUCCAUGCAGGCAAGGCUGUUCACAGGAUGGUAGAUAGGAAGCACUGGAGAGAGAUACAGAAGGAAGCCAGGGUAAGAUACAGCGCCAAGGACAUGGCUCCUGUGACCUCCUUCCUCCGGUUACACCUCACCCCUACCUUUCACCACCUACCAAUAAUCCUCGAGUCCAUCAGAGAAACCCAUGUAUUCAGCCAGAGCACUCAUGGAAUUGUGGAAACCCAUCUCAGAUGCUGGCGGCGCUUUACCACUUGCCUAGACAGCUUUCAUUUAAUCCUGUUGGCGGUUUAGAUUUAGAGGCCCAGGCAAUGGGAGGUGGCAAAGGGACCUUAGCACCUUACCACCAUCCCAAAGUAACAGGCUGUAGCCUCCUGGUGUCACAAAAACACACAGACUGCAGCAUUGAGGCGCCCCUUCCCCUAGCCAGGAGACAACUGUAGUCCUAACAUGAGUCUGGAGACCCCAUCUCUUUCCAGCACUGCUGGGGAGCUCCACACUCCCACCUCACUUGAUGGUGUCAAAGUCUUAGAGGGAAGGAACCCGGAUGUUGCAAGGAAGUUGUGAGACAGUGUGUGUCCCUACUGCACUGGAAUGGUAGGAGAGAAAGACGUUAAAGCAUAGCAUUUAAGAUGCAGAGCCUCCCAAGAGGCUAAAUAAGCAAACUGCAAUAGAAAAUCUCUUAUCAUUCCAAGAACCAGGGCCCUACAUGGUUAAAAUGCAGUCUGUUAGACACCCACAUGGAGAAGACAGAAAAGGCAGAGUUGUGUAGCAAAGAUGUUACUAUGAUAUAGGUGUCCUGAAGAACAAAAGUGUGUGUGCCAAAAGCAAAUAAGAUGGCCAAAGAAAUACAGAGUCUGAGCAAAGGUGUAAAGACCAGAGUGGAAAUUCAUCAUCACAAGCAACGAUCUGAGAUCCCUGCUAAUGCAUGAACGGGAGAAAGGGCAGACGGGGCGAGGACCCGAUGAACUAGAAUCAUUGCGCUUCCCAUUCAAACGGCCAGAGAGUCACACAGAGCAGAAGCAGCAGCUCCUUAGAACAGCUUCAUAGAACAUGAAGCUGUGACAGAUCUCAUACACAGGUCAGCUGCGCUCUGAGAGUGGGAAGGAAGACAGAGAUGGAAAUCAUUAGAGUUUGAGGCUUCUCAAACUUGAGGAAGAAAGAAAGAGAGAGAGAGAGAGAGAGGAAAGAAAAGAAAGGAAGGAAGAAAGAAAGG